UUUUUAAACACGCAUUGUUCUCAAAUGAGCCACCUUGGCAUCAUAAAUACUUUUUGGUCAUUCGGGAUUGAGAAGAAUAUUUCUUAGCUGAACUGAAGCGAUCGCUACACAGAAUGAUCUCUUUAAAUAUCUGUCUCAUCUCUUGUGACAACCAACAACACAACAGGUGUCAGGUGUUGAAAGGAGGCUAAAUGAUGGCCACACCCUGGAAAAGAGCACAGUUGAAGACAAUCUUUUGCGUGACUUCCAAGUUGUGAUUUUCCUGCAACAUGUCAAGUAAAAGUUAUAAAUUCGC
Syngnathoides biaculeatus (alligator pipefish) is the source of this 295-nucleotide long non-coding RNA. RefSeq lists it as uncharacterized. The record is from RefSeq and is a predicted model, not a curated record. The transcript has 3 exons. NCBI's taxonomy places the organism in Eukaryota, Metazoa, Chordata, Actinopteri, Syngnathiformes, Syngnathidae.